RNAcentral lists this ribosomal RNA (222 nucleotides) under uncultured bacterium. RNAcentral describes it as "partial 16S ribosomal RNA". It matches the Rfam family "Bacterial small subunit ribosomal RNA", at positions 30 to 244 of the family's 1533-position model. The record is from RNAcentral.
AUUGAACGCUGGCGGCAGGCCUAACACAUGCAAGUCGAACGGUAGCACAGAGAGCUUGCUCUCGGGUGACGAGUGGCGGACGGGUGAGUAAUGUCUGGGAAACUGCCUGAUGGAGGGGGAUAACUACUGGAGACGGUAGCUAAUACCGCAUAACGUCGCAAGACCAAAGAGGGGGGACCUUCGGGCCGUCCUUGCCAUCAGAUGUGCCCACGAUGGGAUUAG